AGAACGAACGCUGGCGGCAUGCCUAACACAUGCAAGUCGAACGCUUUUGGGGCUUCGGUCCCAAAGGAGUGGCGCACGGGUGAGUAGCGCGUGGGAACCUGCCCUGUUGUGGGGGAUAACCGAGGGAAACUUCGGCUAAUACCGCAUACGCCCGGGGGAAACUCCGGGGAAAGAUUUAUCGCAGCAGGAGGGGCCCGCGUCGGAUUAGGUAGUUGGUGGGGUAACGGCCCACCAAGCCUGUGAUCCGUAGCUGGUCUGAGAGGAUGAUCAGCCACACUGGGACUGAGACACGGCCCAGACUCCUACGGGAGGCAGCAGUGGGGAAUAUUGGACAAUGGGCGCAAGCCUGAUCCAGCAAUGCCGCGUGAGUGAUGAAGGCCUUCGGGUUGUAAAGCUCUUUCGCACGCGACGAUGAUGACGGUAGCGUGAGAAGAAGCCCGGCUAACUCGUGCCAGCAGCCGC
Molecule: ribosomal RNA, 462 nt
Filed under: uncultured bacterium
Lineage: Bacteria
Description: SSU rRNA
Rfam family: Bacterial small subunit ribosomal RNA
Source: RNAcentral